This 460-nucleotide ribosomal RNA is filed under the name uncultured bacterium. RNAcentral's name for it is "partial 16S ribosomal RNA". It matches the Rfam family "Bacterial small subunit ribosomal RNA", at positions 338 to 795 of the family's 1533-position model. The record is from RNAcentral.
CCUACGGGAGGCAGCAGUGAGGAAUAUUGGUCAAUGGGCGAGAGCCUGAACCAGCCAAGUCGCGUGAAGGAUGAAGGCCCUACGGGGUGUAAACUUCUUUUGUCAGGGAGCAAUUGAGUCCACGUGUGGGCUUAGCGAGAGUACCUGAAGAAAAAGCAUCGGCUAACUCCGUGCCAGCAGCAGCGGUAAUACGGAUGAAGCGAGCGUUAUCCGGAGUUAUUGGGUUUAAAGGGUGCGUAGGCGGAAUAUCAAGUCAGCGGUAAAAAUUCGGGGCUCAAGCCCGGCGUGCCGUUGAAACUGAUGUUCUUGAGUGGGCGAGAAGUAUGCGGAAUGCGUGGUGUAGCGGUGAACUGCAUAGAUAUCACGCAGAACUCCGAUUGCGAAGGCAGCAUACCGGCGCCCAACUGACGCUGAAGCACGAAAGCGUGGGUAUCGAACAGGAUUAGAUACCCCUGUAGUC